CAGAACUCAAGUCAGUGCUUGUGUUUGGGUAAUAUUGAUGACAAAUGUAUGCAUUUAGCAAGUCAUGAAAAAAUGAUGUGAUAUGUCUGUUGAAAAACUCACAACCAAGACAACCCCAAAGAGAAGCACUUAUGAACACAAGAACCACCAGUGUCUCCAUUUGAGGUGAUCUGAGAUUGACUCCCACAAAAUAUGGCAUCCAAUACAUUCUGUUGUUUUUGUCAAUUAAAACUGCCCCAACAAGUAGCACUUACUGAAUUCAACAGUCAAGUCAAUGCUCAUGUUAAGGUAAUACUAUUGACUUGCAAAAAUGGUCAAAAAAGUAUUCUUCACCAAGUAACAAAUAAUCUAGUCCUGGUGAAAUCUUUAAAGGGAACCUGGGUCAGCAAAACUACCCCAACAAGAAGCACUUACUGCAUUCAGAACUCAAGUCAGUGCUUGUGUUUGGGUAAUAUUGAUGACAAAUGUAUGCAUUUAGCAAGUCAU
Molecule: long non-coding RNA, 486 nt
Organism: Siniperca chuatsi (mandarin fish)
Lineage: Eukaryota; Metazoa; Chordata; Actinopteri; Centrarchiformes; Sinipercidae
Exons: 2
Source: RefSeq, a predicted model, not a curated record